This 343-nucleotide unclassified non-coding RNA is filed under the name soil metagenome. RNAcentral's name for it is "partial contains 5.8S ribosomal RNA, internal transcribed spacer 2, and large subunit ribosomal RNA". The stretch from base 1 to 120 matches the Rfam family "5.8S ribosomal RNA", at positions 35 to 154 of the family's 154-position model. The record is from RNAcentral.
GUUGAAGAACGCAGCGAAAUGCGAUAAGUAAUGUGAAUUGCAGAAUUCAGUGAAUCAUCGAGUUUUUGAACGCAUAUUGCGCCCUCUGGUAUUCCGGGGGGCAUGCCUGUUCGAGCGUCAUUAAAUAACCCUCAAGCAUAGCUUGGUGUUGGGCUUUUUUACGUCCUUGACUGGGAUGGGCCUAAAAAUUAGUGGCGAUGGCUUUUUUACUUUCAAGCGUAGUAAAUCUCGUCUUGCUAAAGAGGAAAAAGAUUUUUUUUCUGCCAAAAAUUUUAACAUUUAAAGUUGACCUCGGAUCAGGUAGGAUUACCCGCUGAACUUAAGCAUAUCAAUAAGCGGAGGA